UACGAAGGGGGCUAGCGUUGCUCGGAAUGACUGGGCGUAAAGGGUGCGUAGGCGGCGAGAUAAGUCAGGCGUGAAAUUCCUGGGCUCAACCUGGGGACUGCGUUUGAGACUGUUUGGCUAGAGGAUGGAAGAGGCUCGUGGAAUUCCCAGUGUAGAGGUGAAAUUCGUAGAUAUUGGGAAGAACACCGGUGGCGAAGGCGGCGAGCUGGUCCAUUACUGACGCUGAGGCACGAUAGCGUGGGGAGCAAACAGG
Molecule: ribosomal RNA, 253 nt
Filed under: uncultured bacterium
Lineage: Bacteria
Description: partial 16S ribosomal RNA
Rfam family: Bacterial small subunit ribosomal RNA
Source: RNAcentral